GGGAACUCAUCUCUCCGCCUGGUGACGUCACGUUGGCCCGAGCACUGCUGCCCGAGUCCAGCUGUUCAUCUCCCUCGCAUUCUGCUGCUCGCCCUAAUAGCAAUCAGAUGGCGCAAGUGGAAAAUCACGGCGCUCGGCGAGCAAGCUGGAAAUUGGCGGGCUGUGGUGCCUGGUGCCUGUGCUGCUCUGCAGGAGGAUGAGUCAGGCCCCCUUCCCCAUUGAGCCCCUGGAGGGGGGAGUCCUGGAACGCGUUCAUGCCUGGGGCACUGAGCAUUGGUAGGGGUGGGGGUGCAAAGUGGGGGGUGCAGGAGCCAGCAGGGUGGCCAGGAGGAGGGGGUGAUGAGAGGGCUCCCCUCCUGCCCUGGGCCAACUUUCUCAGGGUCCAGGAAGCCCAAGGGAAUUCUGAGCUUUCCCAGCAGGAGCGUAGUGCCCAGACUGGGAGAGGUGUGCCUCUGUGGGCUUCUUGAAGGGAAACGAGAAACACAGCUGCCUUUGCACCUGCGCUGGGAGCUGCCCGCCUCCUGCUCGUCCUGCCCACGUGCAAACCUCACCGUGGAAGAGGGAGUCUCGCGCUGCUUCCCGCAUGACCCAGCUGGCCUCCUGGGGUCUGUUUUUCAGGGAUGGGCUGAGGAGGGACUCUGGGAUCCUGGAGGCUCACGGGCCAUGCCUGAGGCUGAGAGAGAGGCUGGAGGCAGCAGGCAGGGUGGUGACCCGUCCCCUCUUCUCCAGGGCAGCCAGCUGGGGCCCAGCUGGAACGUUUGUUUACAUGGGGUGGCCGGGGGAGGCUGAAUCCCGGCGAGUUCCAAGUGUAAUUGCAUUUGGACACUUAAAAGGAAUUGUGUGAAGUGGGCAGAGGCUCUUAAGUCCACCACCUUAUUUGGUAUGGAAAUUUGUUUCUCUCAAAAUAAGCGAGAGGCGCUUGUAAACGGGAAGGUCGUCCUGGCCUGGGUUUGUGGAGUCCCCUUACCGUGGGCUUGGUGUGUCCGGCUGCUCUGACGCAGUACCGCAGACUGGGGGCUUAUCGGUGCAGGCGUUUCUUCCCAUGGCUGUGGGGGCUGGAAGGCCAAGAUCAAGGCACCCACAAAUUCAGCGUCUGGCUUGGGUGACCUUGGACAGUUUUCUUUCCACCGGGGACCUUGGUUUCCUCAGCUGUCAGAUGGGAAACGGUAAUGACCCACAGGGUUACAGCAAGGAGGGAUCGGACGCCUGGAGGAAGAGCUCUUCGUGCACCUCAGCAACGCCGCUCCCUGCUCCAGGCGUCCUGCUGGUGCCAUUCCCUCCCAGCGAGGCUCAGGGCUCUGGCUGACGCUGAGAAUGGGGUAUGGCCCCUGCUCGUCCAGCCUUCACUUUCUAAACAGCCACCACUUGCCGUCAGGAGUCCUCCCCUGCCCUCCCAGUAGAACGUUGUUUUUAAUCAUCCUCUGCCAAGGGCCUCAUGGUCCUACGCCUCUCCCCAUGUCCCCUCCUGAGGUUGCAGGCCUGGACCCUCCUCUGUUGGGGGGUCCUUGGGGGAAGGAGACCGCAGAGAUGUCUCCCUACCAGGUGCUUCUGUUGCCUACGGUUGCCCUGCUGCUCCCUGGACAAGGGGGCGGGUGUGAACCAGUCCUUGUGGCCCUCUGCAGCCAGCACCAUCCUCAGUAAAGACUGCAGCUAUUUCCUGAGCACUGCUGGGUGCCAGGCACUGUGGUCCGCGCUGAUGAACAGGACAGGCGAGGUCCCUGCCCUCCGGGAGCUGAUGUCCAACAGAGAGGCAGACCAGGUCAAAGGAAACACAGUAAAACGCACCUGCGAUGAAGAAGAUCCUGAGAACAUGUGACUUUACCCUGGCCAAAGGGACUUUGCAAAUGGGAUGAAGAGUCUUGAGAUGAGAGCAUCAUCGUGGAUUAUCCAUGUGGGCCCCAUGUCAUCACAAGGGUCCUUGUAAGAAGGAGACAGGAGAUCAGAAUGAGUAGUGGGCCAUGUGUUGAUGUGAGGAAGGGGCCACUAGCCAAAGAAUGCAGGCUGCCUCUAGAAACUGGAGAGGACAAGGGAACAAGCUCCAGAAAGAACCAGAAACAGAGCCUCCAGAACAGAGCCUCCAGAAAGAACCAGCCCUGCCAACACCUUGACUUUAGGCCUCUGAUUUCUGGAACUCUUACUAGAGUUACUUGUGUUGUUUAAGCCACUAAGUGUGUGUCAUUUGUCAUAGCAGCCACAAGAAACUAAUCCAGGGGGAUGGCCAGGCCUGAUUAGCUGGCGUGGGGCUGGAGGCUCCUCUACAGAGAUGAUGCUUGCACUGAGACCUGAAGGAGAAGGAGAAGGAGGUGGCCGCUCACGCAAUUGUCAGUUUGCCAUGCGGAUGCUCUUUUAACAAGACUUAAUCUUUUAGUGGAGAGGUGCAAGGACUUUAUUUGGGGGGUGACCCCAAGAAACAUUACAGGGAAGAGAAAGAAUUUUGAGAAUUCCCUCCCACCUUGCUUUGAGGGGUCUUGUCUUCAGCUCACCACUGCCCUUGCCUUCUUUGUGGAUUAUUGUGGCAACAGACACCUGCAAACCCUAGGUCGGUCCUCAGCGAGGGUGGCUUGGGCAGCCAGAGACAGCCUGAGAACAGCUGCCAGGAUGACUGUCGGACCCUCAGGGGCCUGGCGGGAAGCUCACUCCUGCUCUGGGGCAUCCAGAGAGGGAGACCAGAGUUGAAGUCACGCUGAACACUGAGGUCACGUGCGGGCUUUUCCUCUGGGCCUGCCACUGGCACGCCUGUGCAAACCAAACUCAAAUAUGUCUUCAGAUCCAAUCCAACUUCGUCACAGUUUCCCCUGGGACUGGUGCAAAACUGGUACAAAACUCUUUGCUUUCUCAAGUCUGAGAGAUCUGGGGUCUUCUGUUUGGGGGAGACCAUGUUUCCGAAACUUUUUAUCAGAAGCAGCUACUUCCAGACAAAACUUCCUAUUGUUCGGCCUCGAAUGCAUCUCUUGAAUCUGGAAUUUCCCCAACGCUUGAUUCCACGGGAUGGCUGAACAGAUGACACUGGCUGGGGGGUGGGUGUAGGUGUGUUGGUGUGUAUAUUUCAAGUCACUUUUGCUUUUUAAAAAAUAUUUAAUUCCAGGAUCAUUUUUUAAAUUGUGAUAAAACGUGCAUAAUAUAAAAUUUA
Molecule: non-coding RNA, 3130 nt
Organism: Macaca mulatta (Rhesus monkey)
Lineage: Eukaryota; Metazoa; Chordata; Mammalia; Primates; Cercopithecidae
Source: RefSeq, a predicted model, not a curated record